RNAcentral lists this long non-coding RNA (636 nucleotides) under Amborella trichopoda. RNAcentral describes it as "long non-coding RNA (ATRI_LNC002442)". Lineage: Eukaryota; Viridiplantae; Streptophyta; Magnoliopsida; Amborellales; Amborellaceae. The record is from RNAcentral.
GACUCAUCCGGUUCGCCGGUGAGUUAUAAGGGGACCUAUUCGGGACGCCGGUAGAGAUUAAGUGAACUCAUCCGGUACGUCGGUGAGGUAUAAGUGGACAUGCAGGGAUUAAGUGGACCUAUCUGGGAUGUCGAUAGGGAUUAAGUGGACCCAUCAAGACGCUGAUGGGGUAUAUAAGUGACCUACUUAGGACGCCAGUAGGGUAUUUUGUGAAAUCCUUUGAAUUAUGCACUGCCAUUAAAAUGUUAUAUGCAUUUCAAUUAUUCGGAUUAUACUUAAUUAUGCAUUUUUGGAAGUGAAACUGUUAAUGCAUUUCUGUUAAUAGAUCUCUUUUUUGGAAAUAUUGAUAUCUUUCAACUAUGAUUAUUUUUAGGAUUAUGAUGAUCACUUACUGAGUAGCCAAACUCAUUAAAAUAUGGUAAACAUUUUUCAGGAUAACUGCAGUUUCAUUUGAGUGCUCGUCAGGAUCAACUUUGGGAAGAUAUUAUAGCUAUGCUUAAAAUUUCUUUUGUUACUUUUUAAAAAUUCGCCAUUGUAAAUUUCUCCUAAAAAGAGAUGUAUAUGUUUUGACUGCCACAUCUCAGGAAUAUCAGUAUUGUAAAUUCUUUGGGUGUGACAGAGAUCCAACGUUUUCAG